RNAcentral lists this ribosomal RNA (360 nucleotides) under uncultured bacterium. Its description in RNAcentral is "bacterial SSU rRNA". It matches the Rfam family "Bacterial small subunit ribosomal RNA", at positions 75 to 422 of the family's 1533-position model. The record is from RNAcentral.
CCCCGCAAGGGGUAAGUAGAGUGGCAAACGGGUGAGUAACACGUGGGUGACCUGCCUUCGAGUGGGGGAUAACGUCCCGAAAGGGACGCUAAUACCGCAUAACAUCCUGCCUUUGAAGAGGUGGAGAUCAAAGCUGGGGACCGCAAGGCCUAGCGCUCAAAGAGGGGCCCGCGCCUGAUUAGCUAGUUGGUGGGGUAAUGGCUCACCAAGGCAACGAUCAGUAUCCGGCCUGAGAGGGCGGACGGACACACUGGGACUGAGACACGGCCCAGACUCCUACGGGAGGCAGCAGUGGGGAAUUGUUCGCAAUGGGCGCAAGCCUGACGACGCAACGCCGCGUGGAGGAUGAAGACCUUCGGG